RNAcentral lists this ribosomal RNA (450 nucleotides) under uncultured bacterium. Its description in RNAcentral is "partial 16S ribosomal RNA". It matches the Rfam family "Bacterial small subunit ribosomal RNA", at positions 29 to 507 of the family's 1533-position model. The record is from RNAcentral.
AUGCACGCUGGCGGCGUGCCUAACACAUGCAAGUCGAGCGGCAGCGAGGGGUGCUUGCACCCUGCCGGCGAGCGGCGGACGGCUGAGUAACGCGUGGGAACGUGCCCCAAAGUGAGGAAUAACUGCCCGAAAGGGUAGCUAAUACCGCAUAUUAUCUUCGGAUCAAAGGAUUUAUCCGCUUUGGGAGCGGCUCGCGUCGGAUUAGGUAGUUGGUGAGGUAAUGGCUCACCAAGCCGACGAUCAGUAGCUGGUCUGAGAGGAUGACCAGCCAGACUGGAACUGAGACACGGUCCAGACUCCUACGGGAGGCAGCAGUGAGGAAUCUUCCACAAUGGGCGAAAGCCUGAUGGAGCAACGCCGCGUGCAGGACGAAGGCCUUCGGGUUGUAAACUGCUUUUAUAAGUGAGGAAUAUGACGGUAACUUAUGAAUAAGGAUCGGCUAACUACGUG